RNAcentral lists this ribosomal RNA (470 nucleotides) under uncultured Anaerolineaceae bacterium. Its description in RNAcentral is "bacterial SSU rRNA". It matches the Rfam family "Bacterial small subunit ribosomal RNA", at positions 897 to 1382 of the family's 1533-position model. Lineage: Bacteria; Bacillati; Chloroflexota; Anaerolineae; Anaerolineales; Anaerolineaceae. The record is from RNAcentral.
AAACUCAAAGGAAUUGACGGGUCCCGCACAAGCAGCGGAGCGUGUGGUUUAAUUCGUUGCUACACGAAGAACCUUACCUGGGUUUGACAUAGCAGUGGUAGGGAAGAGAAAUCGGACCGACCUUCGGGAGCUGUUACAGGUGUUGCAUGGCUGUCGUCAGCUCGUGUCGUGAGAUGUUCGGUUAAGUCCGCUAACGAGCGCAACCCGCGUUGUGUGUUAUAUGUGUCACACAAUACCGCCGGUAUUAAGCCGGAGGAAGGUGCGGAUGACGUCAAGUCAGCAUGACCUUUAUAUCCAGGGCUACACACACGCUACAAUGGACAGUACAACAGGUUGCCAAGCCGCGAGGCGGAGCCAAUCCUCUAAAGCUGUCCUCAGUUCAGAUUGCAGGCUGCAACUCGCCUGCAUGAAGUUGGAGUUGCUAGUAACCGCAGGUCAGCUAUACUGCGGUGAAUACGUUCCCGGGGAUU